CGCAUACGACCUGAGGGUGAAAGCAGGGGAUCGCAAGACCUUUGCGCGACGGGAGCGGCCGAUGUCGGAUUAGCUAGUUGGUGAGGUAAAGGCUCACCAAGGCGACGAUCCGUAGCUGGUCUGAGAGGACGACCAGCCACACUGGAACUGAGACACGGUCCAGACUCCUACGGGAGGCAGCAGUGGGGAAUUUUGCGCAAUGGGCGAAAGCCUGACGCAGCGACGCCGCGUGGAGGAUGAAGAUUUUCGGAUUGUAAACUCCUUUUGUCGGGGAAGAUAAUGACGGUACCCGGCGAAUAAGCCACGGCUAACUCUGCGCCAGCAGCCGCGGUAAGACAGAGGUGGCAAGCGUUGUUCGGAAUUACUGGGCUUAAAGGGCGCGUAGGUGUCCCGACAAGUCAGGUGUGGAAGCUUCCCGCUUAACGGGAAAAUUGC
This 435-nucleotide ribosomal RNA is filed under the name uncultured Alphaproteobacteria bacterium. RNAcentral's name for it is "bacterial SSU rRNA". It matches the Rfam family "Bacterial small subunit ribosomal RNA", at positions 170 to 624 of the family's 1533-position model. Lineage: Bacteria; Pseudomonadati; Pseudomonadota; Alphaproteobacteria. The record is from RNAcentral.